RNAcentral lists this ribosomal RNA (497 nucleotides) under uncultured bacterium. RNAcentral describes it as "partial 16S ribosomal RNA". It matches the Rfam family "Bacterial small subunit ribosomal RNA", at positions 28 to 507 of the family's 1533-position model. The record is from RNAcentral.
GAUGAACGCUGGCGGCGUGCCUAAUACAUGCAAGUCGAGCGAACGGACGAGAAGCUUGCUUUUCUGAUGUUAGCGGCGGACGGGUGAGUAACACGUGGAUAACCUACCUAUAAGACUGGGAUAACUUCGGGAAACCGGAGCUAAUACCGGAUAAUAUUUUGAACCGCAUGGUUCAAAAGUGAAAGACGGUCUUGCUGUCUCUUAUAGAUGGAUCCGCGCUGCAUUAGCUAGUUGGUAAGGUAACGGCUUACCAAGGCAACGAUGCAUAGCCGACCUGAGAGGGUGAUCGGCCACACUGGAACGGAGACACGGUCCAGACUCCUACGGGAGGCAGCAGUAGGGAAUCUGCCGCAAUGGGCGAAAGCCUGACGGAGCAACGCCGCGUGAGUUAUGAAGGUCUUCGGAUCGUAAAACUCUGUUAUUAGGGAAGAACAUAUGUGUAAGUAACUGUGCACAUCUUGACGGUACCUAAUCAGAAAGCCACGGCUAACUACGUG